UGAAAGCGAUAGGGCAAUCACGUCGCCGCACCAAUUCCGACCACUCAAUUGAUGACAUGGAGCAUCGGCAGCCACCGCCCAUCGGCUUUCAUGUCUCGCCGACCCCAUCAGUGCCGCCUCUACCUUCCUCGCCCUCCGCGGGCAGCUUCCAUGUCGCUGUGCCAAUUCCGACCGCUACCGGGGUGAAACAGAAGCGAUAGGGCAACCAUGUUGCUGCGCCAAUUCUGGCUGCUGCUGGGGUGAAACGAAAGCGACAAGGCAACCACCUCGUUGCGCCAAUUCCGAUCGUUGCUGGGGUGAAACAGAAGCGGGAGCGAAACCAUGUCGUCCAGGGAGGCGUUCCCCUUCCGACCGUAGGCACCCUGCUCCCUCCCGCGUAUGGCGGUGCCUUCUCAGGCACCGGCUCGGCUUCGGUGGCCUCUGCCUAGGGCCUGAGGAAAGUCAAGGCUCUGACUGCACCUACCAAGGUCCCGAAGAAGGCCAAGGCUCCGACGGCUCGACGACAGGCGCCUCCUCCACCCAAUCCGGAGGCCCAUGUACCCCGCGCUCCCGUCAACUCCACCGGCGUCCACAACAUGCUCGAGGAAACGUCAGAGAGCUACGACUUGCAUACCGUUCAUACAUCAUAUGCGGAUUUGUUGGAGGAGAAUGAGGUGAACAUCAUGAGUGCUCCUUCAUCGAGGACAAGUACCAUAAGCUCAUGCCGACCCCAUCUGACCUUUCAUUGAAUUCACUCCAAGGCCGGUGGGAUGUGAUCAAAACACAUUGUGGCUGUUGGAGUGGUUUCUUGGAGAAAGUUAGGAACGCACCUCCAAGUGAUUGCACAAUUGACGACUAUGAUUGCAUUGUCUGUGAAAGAUUCAAGCAAAUUGCGGUUUCCAAAUGCAAACCAUUUUUGCUCCAACAUUGUUGGAACUUGCUUCCAGAAAAUGAGAAAUGGAGGUUGAGGGAUCAAGAAGCUCUACCAAAGAAAGGUGCACCCGUUAACUUGGAAGAAGAUGAUGCAUGAAAGGGAGGAAGAAAUAAGGGAAAGCCUGAUGGAAGAAAGUUGGAGAAAGAUAGUGUGAAGAGGUCGUCUCUAGCUUGAGGGAGCAAAUUAGUACAAUGGUGAAGUAAGGAAACUAUGAUGGAGAAGCAUUUGGCAACUAAGUUGGCGUUGGCCGAGAAGAACCAACAAAAGGAGGCAAAGUGGGAGAGAAGACGUGCCUCCGAGGAGCGCAAUAUCGCUCUUGAGGAGCAAAAGAGGAAGGACAACAAGAUCGCCGAGGAGGACCGAUUCUUGAUGAUGGAUCUGAGUGGUAUGGAGCCGAUGGCAACAAAGUUUUAUGAGUUGAAAAGAAUGGAUAUCAUGGUUCAUAGGAGGCAAGAGCUUCAUGAUCUUAUCGCCAGUGGUGGUGGUGCUUCGGCCAAUGUGGUGCUUCCGGCAAUGGUGAUGAUGGCGGUGCCAUAGCCGGUGGUGGCAACGAUGAUCUUGUCAACAAUAGUGUUGCUUGAUUUGGUCAAGUCUAAUUGUGUUUAAUUGCACAUUCUUUUGGACAAUCUUAAUUGCUACCUCUUAUAUUGCGCAUGCUUUUGGAUGUGAACUAUUGCCGUACUAGUAUUGUACGACAUUUUCA
This is a long non-coding RNA of Triticum dicoccoides, 1616 nucleotides long. RefSeq lists it as uncharacterized. Lineage: Eukaryota; Viridiplantae; Streptophyta; Magnoliopsida; Poales; Poaceae. The record is from RefSeq and is a predicted model, not a curated record. The transcript has 3 exons.